UUUUUAGUAUAACUAUGUUCCAUGCAAUAUUUGGGAAAUACUCAUACUAAAA
Pan troglodytes (chimpanzee) is the source of this 52-nucleotide microRNA precursor. It matches the Rfam family "mir-1302 microRNA precursor family". Lineage: Eukaryota; Metazoa; Chordata; Mammalia; Primates; Hominidae. The record is from Rfam.